UACAGAGGGGGCAAGCGUUAUUCGGAAUUAUUGGGCGUAAAGGGCGCGUAGGCGGCUUUUCAAGUGGCGGGUGAAAGCCCUCGGCUUAACCGAGGAACUGCCUGCCAGACUGGAUCGCUUGAGACCGGGAGAGGUGAGUGGAAUUCCCAGUGUAGCGGUGAAAUGCGUAGAUAUUGGGAGGAACACCAGUGGCGAAGGCGGCUCACUGGUCCGGUACUGACGCUGAGGUGCGAAAGCGUGGGGAGCAAACAGG
This 253-nucleotide ribosomal RNA is filed under the name uncultured bacterium. RNAcentral's name for it is "partial 16S ribosomal RNA". It matches the Rfam family "Bacterial small subunit ribosomal RNA", at positions 524 to 776 of the family's 1533-position model. The record is from RNAcentral.